GACGAACGCUGGCGGCGUGCUUAACACAUGCAAGUCGAGCGGUAAGGCCCUUUCGGGGGUACGACGAGCGGCGAACGGGUGAGUAACACGUGGGUGACCUGCCCUCAGCUCUGGGAUAAGCCCGGGAAACUGGGUCUAAUACUGGAUAUGACUCCAUGACGCAUGUUGUGGGGUGGAAAGCCUUGUGCGGCUGAGGAUGGGCCCGCGGCCUAUCAGCUUGUUGGU
Molecule: ribosomal RNA, 225 nt
Filed under: uncultured bacterium
Lineage: Bacteria
Description: partial 16S ribosomal RNA
Rfam family: Bacterial small subunit ribosomal RNA
Source: RNAcentral